GCUAUACAUGCAGUCGAGCGAACAGACGAGGAGCUUGCUCCUCUGACGUUAGCGGCGGACGGGUGAGUAACACGUGGGUAACCUACCUAUAAGACUGGGAUAACUCCGGGAAACCGGGGCUAAUACCGGAUAACACAUGAAACCGCAUGGUUUCAUGAUGAAAGACGGUUUUGCUGUCACUUAUAGAUGGACCCGCGGCGUAUUAGCUAGUUGGUAAGGUAACGGCUUACCAAGGCAACGAUACGUAGCCGACCUGAGAGGGUGAUCGGCCACACUGGAACUGAGACACGGUCCAGACUCCUACGGGAGGCAGCAGUAGGGAAUCUUCCGCAAUGGGCGAAAGCCUGACGGAGCAACGCCGCGUGAGUGAUGAAGGUCUUCGGAUCGUAAAACUCUGUUAUUAGGGAAGAACAAGGAUGUAAGUAACUAUGCAUCCCUUGACGGUACCUAAUCAGAAAGCCACGGCUAACUACGUGCCAGCAGCCGCGGUAAUACGUAGGUGGCAAGCGUUAUCCGGAAUUAUUGGGCGUAAAGCGCGCGUAGGCGGUUUUUUAAGUCUGAUGUGAAAGCCCACGGCUCAACCGUGGAGGGUCAUUGGAAACUGGAAAACUUGAGUGCAGAAGAGGAAAGUGGAAUUCCAUGUGUAGCGGUGAAAUGCGCAGAGAUAUGGAGGAACACCAGUGGCGAAGGCGACUUUCUGGUCUGCAACUGACGCUGAUGUGCGAAAGCGUGGGGAUCAAACAGGAUUAGAUACC
This 755-nucleotide ribosomal RNA is filed under the name Staphylococcus simulans. Its description in RNAcentral is "bacterial SSU rRNA". It matches the Rfam family "Bacterial small subunit ribosomal RNA", at positions 48 to 786 of the family's 1533-position model. The record is from RNAcentral. Lineage: Bacteria; Bacillati; Bacillota; Bacilli; Caryophanales; Staphylococcaceae.